This 17707-nucleotide long non-coding RNA is filed under the name Xyrichtys novacula (pearly razorfish). The record is from RNAcentral. Lineage: Eukaryota; Metazoa; Chordata; Actinopteri; Labriformes; Labridae.
CUUUGACUUUUUCGUAGAUCUAAUUGAGAUACACAUGAUUGUCAAUUUUUGUGUCAUUUUGCCAAAGCGUACAGGCGUGACAGUCAACAAUGUGUAUUUUCACCUUAGGGGACAAGAAAAAAUGGACUUUUUUCUCCUGCCAUGGGGGGGGCGCUCUUUUAGGGAGUAAAAAUUCCUUCACAAAUGUGUUGAUGGCUGGACAUUGCAUCAUCCUAGAAAACUUGGAGGCCAGUGAGGGCAAAAAUAAAGUUAUAAGACUUUUAAAUAUGUGGAUUUUUGGGUUAUCUUUGGCGCCCCCUAGAACCUAAACCGUGGGGUGCAGCGUCAUGAUUUGAAUAACUUUUAAUGGCCAUGGGGUGUAGAUUGGCCUGAGCAAAUGUGGUGCCGGUGGAACGAAAGCCUUCUGAGGAGUUAGCGAAAUUCCAAUGUGUGCGAAUCGGCAAAAAAUGCGGAAUAACCCUUUAACCGUACAUUUGACAGAUACGCGCGCAUGGACUUUUUUGUAGAUCUUAUUGAGAUACAUGUGUGUGUCAAUUUUUGUGUCAUUUUGACAAAGCGUACAGGCGUGACAGUCAACAAUGUGUAUUUUCACCUUAUGGGACAAGAAAAAAUGGACUUUUUUCUCCUGCCAUGGGGGGGCACUCUUUUGGGGAGUAAAAAUUCCUUCACAAAUGUGUUGAUGGCUGGACAUUGCAUCAUCCUAGAAAACUUGGAGGCCAGUGAGGGCAAAAAUAAAAAGUUAUAAGACUUUUAAAUAUGUGGAUUUUAGGGUUAUCUUUGGCGCCCCCUAGAACCUAAACCGUGGGGUGCAGCGUCAUGAUUUGAAUAACUUUUAAUGGCCAUGGGGUGUAGAUUGGCCUGAGCAAAUGUGGUGCCGGUGGAACGAAAGCCUUCGGAGGAGUUAGCGAAAUUCCAAUGUGUGCGGAUCGGCAAAAAAUGAGAAAUAACCCUUUAACCGUACAUUUGACAGAUACGCCCGCACUGACUUUUUUGUAGAUCUUAUUGAGAUACAUGUGUGUGUCAAUUUUUGUGUCAUUUUGACAAAGCGUACAGGCGUGACAGUCAAUAGUGUGAAUUUUCACCUUAGGGGGCGCUAUGGAGCCAUUUUGCAUUUUCUUGUUUGGGCGACUUCGGAAUAUCAAAUUUUUCACCAGGCCCGGUCGUCCUGCCAAAUUUCAUGAGUUUUCGCCAGUGGGAAGUGGGCCAUUUUCCAGUUCAAAGGGGAGGAAAAAGAAAAACUAGGACCCCGUUGGGGCACUGGCGGGCCCGAGCCGUGUCGCGUCCCCCCCCAACGUGCUGCCUCCCCGUCCCAUUUGUGUCCUCUGGCCAUCGCCCUCUCUGGUAACGCCCAUCACUGCAAAGACCCUUUUCCUUCAUCGGCGUUUGCUGUUCUUCCUGCCAGUGCGUGUUGCUUUCACUUACACUUGCCACAGCCAGCCUCGUGAGUGCCUAGCCUAUUGGAUAUCACUGUCACCUACACAGGACAGUCAUUACCUUUCUAUUAAUACUUUGUGUUUUAAUUUCACAUUAAUUUCCAUAUUGUAUAAACGACUGGAAAAAACUUGAGCCCCUGCCCCUGUAUAAUCAUGUGCAUGUCUCUGUUCUAGCUCCAAGGUGAAUCUUCACUGCUCAUGUUCUCCUCAGAAGCACUCACCUCACUCCCCUCAGGUUACUGUACACAUGCACCAACUGCCUGCUUCAGGUUUGGAUGGAGCUUCAUGGUUGUCUUUUGGAGAAAUGACCAGUCAAGUUGUGUUUGAAAUUUGAUUUUUUUCAGGGGCAAAAGGAGCCUCUGCAUUCUUGUCAAAUAUGUAAAUAGCAUGUUUUUGCAGGUGCUAAAAACCAGACUCUGAGUGUGUGUGUGUGUGUGUGUGUGUGUGUGUGUGUGUGUGCGUGUGUGUGUGUCUAUGUGUGCGUUCAAGUCACAUGACAUAUUUAACCUGAUGUAGCUGCAAGACGGAGCCUUGUUGACUCUCCGUUUCAACUUAUCUCAAAAGUGAGGACCUCAACCUAUAUACCAGUUUUUAAAUUGUGUUGAUAGGCCAAAUAAAACCAGAGUUAUGAUAAAUUAUGUCCGCGAUACUUUUUUUCUGCUUAUUUUGAUCACGUUCGGCGCUCGAUCGCGCUGUAUGAGACAGGAAAACAUAGCAUGCAGACAUUAGCGACAGGUCUUACAGGCGGAAAAGGCUUGCCAAAAGAAAAAAAAAACACACCACAACAUCUCUCCUAUUGGUGGAAAACUUCACCACAACAACCAAUCCAAAAUUAUAUGGUGACUGAUUGACAAGGGGCGGGCGCUUACGUUCUUCCUGCAACAUGAGAAGGGAGGGAGGGACUCUCAGCAGGGAUGCAGUCUGGGACACGUAGUUGCAAACCUAGCGACUUUGUUGUUAGAUUCAAUGACUUUUCAGACACCCUAAAGACUUUUUUUUAGAAAGAAAGGGACUUUUAUCGACUUCUUCUGGAGUUUAGAGACUCUGACAUGAAGCAGGCUUUCCUUACUGAGGAGUUAGCAACGCUGCUAAGGGUGCAGAGCCACACAUGCGCUCAGAGCUCUGCAUGGGAGACUGAAGCUGACAGAGCUGCAGCAGUUAGCAGGUUUCACCCUCAGAGACCACCAGGGGUUCAUGUUGAGGCAUUUUAAUUUUUUUUUUUUUGUGCCAUAGACACUGUCAGCAAAAUCUGCAGUUACACUAACAAAAAUGCUGCAAAAAACAAAGAAUUAUGGAAAAAUUACACAUGGACUGACAUAGAGGAGGAUCUACACAAGUUUUUUACAUCAUGUUUUACAUCAUGCAUCAUUUACAUCAUGUUUUUUUGUAGUGGCAUAAAUAAAAAGUGACAUUUGUGAGACUAUACAGUGUUUUGUAAAUAAUUUUACAAAGAACGCCUGGGCCAUUGCCUGCAUUUUGAUGUAAAUAGAGGUAAAUUACUAUGUUCUUUGUUAAAAAUUUGCAUAUGUUUUGAAGUUUACAAUUUUUAUUUGAAGUUUAAGUUUUAAAAACAGUUCAUCACACAUAUUUGUGGUUUAAUUUCACAUUAAUUUCCAUAUUGUAUAAAUGACUGGAAAAAACUUGAGCCCCUGCCCCUGUAUAAUCAUGUGCACGUCCCUGUUCUAGCUCCAAGGUGAAUCUUCACUGCUCAUGUUCUCCUCAGAAAUAGUCACCUCACUCCCCUCAGGUUACUGUACACAUGCACCAACUAUCUGCUUCAGGUUUGAAAUGGAGCUUCAUGGUUGUCUUUUGGAGAAAUGAACAGUCAAGUUGUGUUUGAAAUUUGAUUUUUUUCAGGGGCAAAAGGAAGCCUCUGCAUUCUUGUCAAAUAUGUAAACAGCAUGUUUUUGCAGGUGCUAAAAAACAGACUCUGAGUGUGUGUGUGUGUCUGUGUGUGUGUGUGUGUGUGUGUGUGUGUGUGUGUAUGUUGGCGUGUGUGUAUAUGUGUGUGUAUCCUGCAGUACUCUGUACUCCUGCAGUGGCCAAAAAGACUUUUAAGAAUGUGGAUUUUUGGGUCAUCUUUGGCGCCCCCUAGAACUGCAGUACUCUGUACUCCUGCAGUGGCCAAAAUGACUUUUAAGAAUGUGGAUUUUUGGGUCAUCUUUGGCGCCCCCUAGAACGUAAACCGUGGGGUGCAGCGUCAUGAUUUUUACAACUUUGAAUGGGCAUGGGGUGUAGAUUGCCCUGAGCAAAUUUGGUAUCGGUGGGACGAAAGCCUCAGGAGGAGAUAGCCACAUUCCAAUGUGUGCGAAUCGGCAAAAAAUGCAAAAUAGCCCUUUAACCGUACAUUAUACAGAUACGCGCUCUUUGACUUUUUCGUAGAUCUAAUUGAGAUACACAUGAUUGUCAAUUUUUGUGUCAAUAUGACAAAGCGUUCAGGCGUGACACUCAACAAUGUGUAUUUUUAUGGAAGGGGACAAGAAAAAAUUGACUUUUUUCUCCUACCAUGGGGGGGCGCUCUUUUGGGGAGUAAAAAUUCCUUCACAAAUGUGUUGAUGGCUGGACAUUGCAUCAUCCUAGAAAACUUGGAGGCCAGUGAGGACAAAAAUAAAAAGUUAUAAAACAUUUAAGAAUGUGGAUUUUUGGGUUAUUUUUGGCGCCCCCUAGAACCUAAACCAUGGGGUGCAGCAUCAUGAUUUGAAUAACUUUUAAUGGCCAUGGGGUGUAGAUUGGCCUGAGAAAAUGUGGUGCCGGUGGAACGAAAGCCUUCGGAGGAGUUAGCGAAAUUCCAAUGUGUGCGUAUCGGCAAAAAAUGCGGAAUAACCCUUUAACUGUACAUUUGACAGAUACGCGCGCAUGGACUUUUUUGUAGAUCUUAUUGAGUUACAUGUGUGUGUCAAUUUUUGUGUCAUUUUGACAAAGCGUAUAGGCGUGACACUCAACAAUGUGUAUUUUCACCUUAGGGGACAAGAAAAAAUGGACUUUUUUCUCCUGCCAUGGGGGGGCGCUCUUUUGGGGAGUAAAAAUUCCUUCACAAAUGUGUUGAUGGCUGGACAUUGCAUCAUCCUAGAAAACUUGGAGGCCAGUGAGGACAAAAAUAAAAAGUUAUAAGACUUUUAAAUAUGUGGAUUUUAGUGUUAUCUUUGGCGCCCCCUAGAACCUAAACCUUGGGGUGCAGCGUCAUGAUUUUGAUAACUUUUAAUGGCCACGGGGUGUAGAUUGGCCUGAGCAAAUGUGGUGUCGGUGGAACGAAAGCCUUCGGAGGAGUUAGCGAAAUUCCAAUGUGUGCGGAUCGGCAAAAAAUGCGAAAUAACCCUUUAACCGUAAUUUUGACAGAUACGGCCGCACUGACUUUUUUGUAGAUCUUAUUGAGAUACAUAUGUGUGUCAAUUUUUGUGUCAAUAUGACAAAGCGUACAGGCGUGACAGUCAAUAGUGUGAAUUUCCACCUUAGGGGGCGCUAUGGAGCCAUUUUGCAUUUUAUUGUUUGGGCGACUUCAGAAUAUCGAAUUUUUCACCAGGCCCGGUCGUCCUGCCAAAUUUCAUGAGUUUUCGCCAGUGGGAAGUGGGCCAUUUUCCAGUUCAAAGGGGAGGAAAAAGAAGAACUAGGGCCCCGUUGGGGCACUGGCGGGCCCGAGCCGUGUCACGCCGCCCCCAGCGCGACCGCCUCCCCCACCCGAUCGCGUCACACUCAAGGUCCAAAGAUGGUGUGCGCACUUGUUUGUGGUCAUUUACCAUUAUAAUGAACGGGAGGCGCAGUUUCUACCAAAACGCUCGCUGCAGAAAAACUCCAUGUCCUAUUUGAAAAAAGUCUGGACCAUGAGUGAGGGCACAAACACAGCUAAGAUAUAUCCAAAUGGCAAGUUGCUCCUCCUUUCGCUUUUGCCGAGAGAGCAGUGCGUUUGAGCCAUUGAAUGAUGAACAGGAAAAACUUGACUUUAUUCUCCUGCCAUGGGGGGGUGCUCUUUUAAAGAGAAAAAACUCCUUCACAAAUGUGUUGAUGGCUGGACAUUGCAUCAUCCUAGAAAACAUGGAGGCCAGUGAGGACAAAAAUAAAAAGUUACAAGACUUUUAAAUAUGUGGAUUUUAGGGUUAUAUUUGGCGCCCCCUAGAACCUAAAGCGUGGGGUGCAGCGUCAUGAUUUGAAUAACUUUUAAUGGCCAUGGGGUGUAGAUUGGCCUGAGCAAAUGUGGUGCCGGUGGAACGAAAGCCUUCGGAGGAAUUAGCGAAAUUCCAAUGUGUGCGAAUCUGCAAAAAAUGCGAAAUAACCCUUUAACCAUACAUUUUACAGAUACGUGGCCAUUGACUUUUUCGAAGAUCUUAUUGAAAUACACGUGUAUGUAAAAUUUUGUUUCAAUACGACAAAACAUACAGGCGUAGCACUCAACAAUGUGUAUUUUCACCUUAGUGGACAAGAAAAAAUUGACUUUUUUCUCCUGCCAUGGGGGGGCGCUCUUUUGCCGAGUAAAAAUUCCUUCACAAAUGUGUUGAUGGCUGGACAUUGCAUCAUCCUAGAAAACUUGGAGGCCAGUGGGGACAAAAAUAAAAAGUUAUAAGACUUUUAAAUAUGUGGAUUUUACGGUUAUCUUUGGCGCCCCCUAGAACCUAAACCGUGGGGUGCAGCGUCAUGAUUUGAAUAACUUUUAAUGGCCAUGGGGUGUAGAUUGGCCUGAGCAAAUGUGGUGCCGGUGGAACGAAAGCCUUCGGAGGAGUUAGCGAAAUUCCAAUGUGUGCAGAUCGGCAAAAAAUGCGGAAUAACCCUUUAACCGUACAUUUGACAGAUACGCGCGCAUUGACUUUUUCGUAGAUCUUAUUGAGAUACAUGUGUGUGUCAAUUUUUGUGUCAUUUUGCCAAAGCGUACAGGUGUUACACUCAACAAUGUGUAUUUUCACCUUAGGGGACAAGAAAAAAUGGACUUUUUUCUCCUGCCAUGGGGGGGCGCUCUUUUGGGGAGUAAAAAUUCCUUCACAAAUGUGUUGAUGGCUGGACAUUGCAUCAUCCUAGAAAACUUGGAGGCCAGUGAGGGCAAAAAUAAAAAGUUAUAAGACUUUUAAAUAUGUGGAUCUUAGGGUUAUCUUUGGCGCCCCCUAGAACCUAAACCGUGGGGUGCAGCGUCAUGAUUUGAAUAACUUUUAAUGGCCAUGGGGUGUAGAUUGGCCUGAGCAAAUGUGGUGCCGGUGGAACGAAAGCCUUCGGAGGAGUUAGCGAAAUUCCAAUGUGUGCGGAUCGGCAAAAAAUGCGAAAUAACCCUUUAACCGUACAUUUGACAGAUACGCCCGCACUGACUUUUUUGUAGAUCUUAUUGAGAUACAUGUGUGUGUCAAUUUUUGUGUCAUUUUGACAAAGCGUACAGGCGUGACAGUCAAUAGUGUGAAUUUUCACCUUAGGGGGCGCUAUGGAGCCAUUUUGCAUUUUCUUGUUUGGGCGACUUCGGAAUAUCAAAUUUUUCACCAGGCCCGGUCGUCCUGCCAAAUUUCAUGAGUUUUCGCCAGUGGGAAGUGGGCCAUUUUCCAGUUCAAAGGGGAGGAAAAAUAAUAAUAACUAGGACCCCGUUGGGGCACUGGCGGGCCCGAGCUGUGUCGCGUCCCCCCCCCCAACGCGCUGCCUCCCCGUCCCAUUUGUGUCCUCUGGCCAUCGCCCUCUCUGGUAACGCCCAUCACUGCAAAGACCCUUUUCCUUCAUCGGCGUUUGCUGUUCUUCCUGCCAGUGCGUGUUGCUUUCACUUACACUUGCCACAGCCAGCCUCGUGAGUGCCUAGCCUAUUGGAUAUCACUGUCACCUACACAGGACAGUCAUUACCUUUCUAUUAAUACUUUGUUUUUUAAUUUCACAUUAAUUUCCAUAUUGUAUAAACAACUGGAAAAAACUUGAGCCCCUGCCCCUGUAUAAUCAUGUGCACGUCUCUGUUCUAGCUCUAAGGUGAAUCUUCACUGCUCAUGUUCUCCUCAGAAGCAGUCACCUCACUCCCCUCAGGUUACUGUACACAUGCACCAACUGCCUGCUUCAGGUUUGGAUGGAGCUUCAUGGUUGUCUUUUGGAGUAAUGACCAGUCAAGUUGUGUUUGAAAUUUGAUUUUUUUCAGGGGCAAAAGGAGCCUCUGCAUUCUUGUCAAAUAUGUAAAUAGCAUGUUUUUGCAGGUGCUAAAAACCAGACUCUGAGUGUGUGUGUGUGCGUGUGUGUGUGUGUCUGUGUGUGUGUGUGUGUGUGUGUGUGCGUUCAAGUCACAUGACAUAUUUAACCGGAUGUAGCUGCAAGACGGAGCCUCGUUGACUCUCCGUUUCAACUUAUCUCAAAAGUGAGGACCUCAACCUAUAUACCAGUUUUUAAAUUGUGUUGAUAGGCCAAAUAAAACCAGAGUUAUGAUAAAUUAUGUCCGCGAUACUUGUUUUCUGCUUAUUUUGAUCACGUUCGGCGCUCGAUCGCGCUGUAUGAGACAGGAAAACAUAGCAUGCAGACAUUCGCGACAGGUCUUACAGGCGGAAAAGGCUUGCCAAAGGAAAAAAAAAACACACCACAACAUCUCUCCUAUUGGUGGAAAACUUCACCACAACAACCAAUCCAAAAUUAUAUGGUGACUGAUUGACAAGGGGCGGGCGCUUACGUUCUUCCUGCAAUAUGAGAAGGGAGGGAGGGACUCUCAGCAGGGAUGCAGUCUGGGACACGUAGUUGCAAACCUAGCGACUUUGUUGUUAGAUUCAAUGACUUUUCAGACCCCCUAACGACUUUUUUUUAGAAAGAAAGUGACUUUUAUCGACUUCUUCUGGAGUUUAGAGACUCUGACAUGAAGCAGGCUUUCCUUACUGAGGAGUUAGCAACGCUGCUAAGGGUGCAGAGCCACACAUGCGCUCAGAGCUCUGCAUGGGAGACUGAAGCUGACAGAGCUGCAGCAGUUAGCAGGUUUCACCCUCAGAGACCACCAGGGGUUCAUGUUGAGGCAUUUUCAGUUUUUUUUUUUUGCCAUAGACACUGUCAGCACAAUCUGCAGUUACACUAACAAAAAUGCUGCAAAAAACAAAGUCCAUGUGUAAUUUUUCCAUAAUUCUAACAGAGGAGGAUCUACACAAGUUUUUUACAUCAUGUUUUACAUCAUGCAUCAUUUACAUCAUGUUUUUUUGUAGUGGCAUAAAUAAAAAGUGACAUUUGUGAGACUAUACAGUGUUUUGUAAAUAAUUUUACAAAGAACACCUGGGCCAUUGCCUGCAUUUUGAUGUAAAUAGAGGUAAAUUACUAUGUUCUUUGUUAAAAAUUUGCAUAUGUUUUGAAGUUUACAAUUUUUAUUUGAAGUUUAAGUUUUAAAAACAGUUCAUCACACAUAUUUGUGGUUUUCACAGUAAAAACGUUACUUUUUUCCACUCGGAUUUUAUGUUUUGUGUGUGAAUUUGGGUCCAAUGUGUAAAUAUAGUAUGUCAAAAUGAUAAAAUAACUGUAAAUUGACACAGGUGAGGUUGUGCUGAAAAAAAUGAUACCAGGCAAGGCAAGGUAAAAAUUUUGUAAGAGGAAAUAUAAAGGUAAAAUCUAAAGUAGUCAAAAACGGCCAAUAGUGACUCACAGACUCCACAGACAAGUCCCUUUGGCGCCACUCAGUGGGCAAAACUACUUUGUCUACUGUAAUGUAUAUUUGGGUCAUCUUUGGCGCCCCCUAAAACGUAAACCGUGGGGUGCAGCGUCAUGAUUUUUACAACUUUGAAUGGCCAUGGAGUGUAGAUUGGCCUGAGCAAAUUUGGUGUCAUUGGGACGAAAGCCUUAGGAGGAGUUAGCGAAAUUCCAAUGUGUGCGAAUCGGCAAAAAAUGCAAAAUAGCCCUUUUACCGUACAUUAUACAGAUACGCGCUCUUUGACUUUUUCAUAGAUCUAAUUGAGAUACACAUGAUUGUCAAUUUUUGUGUCAUUUUGCCAAAGCGUACAGGCGUGACAGUCAACAAUGUGUAUUUUCACCUUAGGGGACAAGAAAAAAUGGACUUUUUUCUCCUGCCAUGGGGGGCGCUCUUUUAGGGAGUAAAAAUUCCUUCACAAAUGUGUUGAUGGCUGGACAUUGCAUCAUCCUAGAAAACUUGGAGGCCAGUGAGGACAAAAAUAAAAAGUUAUAAGACUUUUAAAAAUGUGGAUUUUUGGGUUAUCUUUGGCGCCCCCUAGAACGUAAACCGUGGGGUGCAGCGUCAUGAUUUGAAUAACUUUUAAUGGCCAUGGGGUGUAAUUUGGCCUGAGCAAAUGUGGUGCCGGUGGAACGAAAGCCUUCGGAGGAGUUAGCGAAAUUCCAAUGUGUGCGGAUCGGCAAAAAAUGCGGAAUAACCCUUUAACCGUACAUUUGACAGAUACGCGCACAUUGACUUUUUCGUAGAUCUUAUUGAGAUACACGUGAUAGUCAAAUUUUGUGUCAAUAUGACAAAGCGUACAGGUGUCACACUCAACAAUGUGAAUUUUCACCUUACGGGACAAGAAAAAAUUGACUUUUUUCUCCUGCCAUGGGGGGGCGCUCUUUUGGGGAGUAAAAAUUCCUUCACAAAUGUGUUGAUGGCUGGACAUUGCAUCAUCCUAGAAAACUUGGAGGCCAGUGAGGGCAAAAAUAAAAAGUUAUAAGACUUUGAAAUAUGUGGAUUUUAGGGUUAUCUUUGGCGCCCCCUAGAACCUAAACCGUGGGGUGCAGCAUAAUGAUUUGAAUAACUUUUAAUGGCCAUGGGGUGUAGAUUGGCCUGAGCAAAUGUGGUGCCGGUGGAACAAAAGCCUUCGGAGGAGUUAGCGAAAUUCCAAUGUGUGCGGAUCGGCAAAAAAUGCGCAAUAACCCUUUAACCGUACAUUUGACAGAUACGCCCGCACUGACUUUUUUGUAGAUCUUAUUGAGAUACAUGUGUGUGUCAAUUUUUGUGUCAUUUUGACAAAGCGUACAGGCGUCAGGUGAAUUUUUCACCUUAGGGGGCGCUAUGGAGCCAUUUUGCAUUGUAUUGUUUGGGCGACUUCAGAAUAUCAAAUUUUUCACCAGGCCCGGUCGUCCUGCCAAAUUUCAUGAGUUUUCGCCAGUGGGAAGUGGGCCAUUUUCCAGUUCAAAGGGGAGGAAAAAGAAAAAAGAAACAAAGAAAAACCACUUGGGGAAUAAUAGGGCUCUCGCAGCUGCUUAGCAGCUACGCUCGGGCCCUAAUAAUAAUAACAAAAGAAGGAAACUACAGGAACAAGAGGGCUCUCGCAGCUGCUUAGCAGCUACGCUCGGGCCCUAACUAGGACCCCGUUGGGGCACUGGCGGGCCCGAGCCGUGUCGCGUCCCCCCCCCCCCCCCCAACGUGCUGCCUUCCCGUCCCAUUUGUGUCCUCUGGCCAUCGCCCUCUCUGGUAACGCCCAUCACUGCAAAGACCCUUUUCCUUCAUCGGCGUUUGCUGUUCUUCCUGCCAGUGCGUGUUGCUUUCACUUACACUUGCCACAGCCAGCCUCGUGAGUGCCUAGCCUAUUGGAUAUCACUGUCACCUACACAGGACAGUCAUUACCUUUCUAUUAAUACUUUGUGUUUUAAUUUCACAUUAAUUUCCAUAUUGUAUAAACGACUGGAAAAAACUUGAGCCCCUGCCCCUGUAUAAUCAUGUGCAUGUCUCUGUUCUAGCUCCAAGGUGAAUCUUCACUGCUCAUGUUCUCCUCAGAAGCACUCACCUCACUCCCCUCAGGUUACUGUACACAUGCACCAACUGCCUGCUUCAGGUUUGGAUGGAGCUUCAUGGUUGUCUUUUGGAGAAAUGACCAGUCAAGUUGUGUUUGAAAUUUGAUUUUUUUCAGGGGCAAAAGGAGCCUCUGCAUUCUUGUCAAAUAUGUAAAUAGCAUGUUUUUGCAGGUGCUAAAAACCAGACUCUGAGUGUGUGUGUGUGUGUGUGUGUGUGCGUGUGUGUGUGCGUGUGUGUGUGUCUGUGUGUGCGUUCAAGUCACAUGACAUAUUUAACCUGAUGUAGCUGCAAGACGGAGCCUCGUUGACUCUCCGUUUCAACUUAUCUCAAAAGUGAGGACCUCAACCUAUAUACCAGUUUCUAAAUUGUGUUGAUAGGCCAAAUAAAACCAGAGUUAUGAUAAAUUAUGUCCGCGAUACUUUUUUUCUGCUUAUUUUGAUCACGUUCGGCGCUCCGAUCGCGCUGUAUGAGACAGGAAAACAUAGCAUGCAGACAUUAGCGACAGGUCUUACAGGCGGAAAAGGCUUGCCAAAAGAAAAAAAAACACACCACAACAUCUCUCCUAUUGGUGGAAAACUUCACCACAACAACCAAUCCAAAAUUAUAUGGUGACUGAUUGACAAGGGGCGGGCGCUUACGUUCUUCCUGCAACAUGAGAAGGGAGGGAGGGACUCUCAGCAGGGAUGCAGUCUGGGACACGUAGUUGCAAACCUAGCGACUUUGUUGUUAGAUUCAAUGACUUUUCAGACACCCUAACGACUUUUUUUUAGAAAGAAAGGGACUUUUAUCGACUUCUUCUGGAGUCUAGAGACUCUGACAUGAAGCAGGCUUUCCUUACUGAGGAGUUAGCAACGCUGCUAAGGGUGCAGAGCCACACAUGCGCUCAGAGCUCUGCAUGGGAGACUGAAGCUGACAGAGCUGCAGCAGUUAGCAGGUUUCACCCUCAGAGACCACCAGGGGUUCAUGUUGAGGCAUUUUAAUUUUUUUUUUUUUGUGCCAUAGACACUGUCAGCAAAAUCUGCAGUUACACUAACAAAAAUGCUGCAAAAAACAAAGAAUUAUGGAAAAAUUACACAUGGACUGACAUAGAGGAGGAUCUACACAAGUUUUUUACAUCAUGUUUUACAUCAUGCAUCAUUUACAUCAUGUUUUUUUGUAGUGGCAUAAAUAAAAAGUGACAUUUGUGAGACUAUACAGUGUUUUGUAAAUAAUUUUACAAAGAACGCCUGGGCCAUUGCCUGCAUUUUGAUGUAAAUAGAGGUAAAUUACUAUGUUCUUUGUUAAAAAUUUGCAUAUGUUUUGAAGUUUACAAUUUUUAUUUGAAGUUUAAGUUUUAAAAACAGUUCAUCACACAUAUUUGUGGUUUAAUUUCACAUUAAUUUCCAUAUUGUAUAAAUGACUGGAAAAAACUUGAGCCCCUGCCCCUGUAUAAUCAUGUGCACGUCCCUGUUCUAGCUCCAAGGUGAAUCUUCACUGCUCAUGUUCUCCUCAGAAAUAGUCACCUCACUCCCCUCAGGUUACUGUACACAUGCACCAACUAUCUGCUUCAGGUUUGAAAUGGAGCUUCAUGGUUGUCUUUUGGAGAAAUGAACAGUCAAGUUGUGUUUGAAAUUUGAUUUUUUUCAGGGGCAAAAGGAAGCCUCUGCAUUCUUGUCAAAUAUGUAAACAGCAUGUUUUUGCAGGUGCUAAAAAACAGACUCUGAGUGUGUGUGUGUGUCUGUGUGUGUGUGUGUGUGUGUGUGUGUGUGUGUGUGUGUAUGUUGGCGUGUGUGUAUAUGUGUGUGUAUCCUGCAGUACUCUGUACUCCUGCAGUGGCCAAAAAGACUUUUAAGAAUGUGGAUUUUUGGGUCAUCUUUGGCGCCCCCUAGAACUGCAGUACUCUGUACUCCUGCAGUGGCCAAAAUGACUUUUAAGAAUGUGGAUUUUUGGGUCAUCUUUGGCGCCCCCUAGAACGUAAACCGUGGGGUGCAGCGUCAUGAUUUUUACAACUUUGAAUGGGCAUGGGGUGUAGAUUGCCCUGAGCAAAUUUGGUAUCGGUGGGACGAAAGCCUUAGGAGGAGAUAGCCACAUUCCAAUGUGUGCGAAUCGGCAAAAAAUGCAAAAUAGCCCUUUAACCGUACAUUAUACAGAUACGCGCUCUUUGACUUUUUCGUAGAUCUAAUUGAGAUACACAUGAUUGUCAAUUUUUGUGUCAAUAUGACAAAGCGUUCAGGCGUGACACUCAACAAUGUGUAUUUUUAUGUAAGGGGACAAGAAAAAAUUGCCUUUUUUCUCCUACCAUGGGGGGCGCUCUUUUGGGGAGUAAAAAUUCCUUCACAAAUGUGUUGAUGGCUGGACAUUGCAUCAUCCUAGAAAACUUGGAGGCCAGUGAGGACAAAAAUAAAAAGUUAUAAAACAUUUAAGAAUGUGGAUUUUUGGGUUAUUUUUGGCGCCCCCUAGAACCUAAACCAUGGGGUGCAGCAUCAUGAUUUGAAUAACUUUUAAUGGCCAUGGGGUGUAGAUUGGCCUGAGCAAAUGUGGUGCCGGUGGAACGAAAGCCUUCGGAGGAGUUAGCGAAAUUCCAAUGUGUGCGUAUCGGCAAAAAAUGCGGAAUAACCCUUUAACUGUACAUUUGACAGAUACGCGCGCACUGACUUUUUUGUAGAUCUUAUUGAGUUACAUGUGUGUGUCAAUUUUUGUGUCAUUUUGACAAAGCGUAUAGGCGUGACACUCAACAAUGUGUAUUUUCACCUUAGGGGACAAGAAAAAAUGGACUUUUUUCUCCUGCCAUGGGGGGCGCUCUUUUGGGGAGUAAAAAUUCCUUCACAAAUGUGUUGAUGGCUGGACAUUGCAUCAUCCUAGAAAACUUGGAGGCCAGUGAGGACAAAAAUAAAAAGUUAUAAGACUUUUAAAUAUGUGGAUUUUAGUGUUAUCUUUGGCGCCCCCUAGAACCUAAACCUUGGGGUGCAGCGUCAUGAUUUGAAUAACUUUUAAUGGCCACGGGGUGUAGAUUGGCCUGAGCAAAUGUGGUGCCGGUGGAACGAAAGCCUUCGGAGGAGUUAGCGAAAUUCCAAUGUGUGCGGAUCGGCAAAAAAUGCGAAAUAACCCUUUAACCGUAAUUUUGACAGAUACGGCCGCACUGACUUUUUUGUAGAUCUUAUUGAGAUACAUAUGUGUGUCAAUUUUUGUGUCAAUAUGACAAAGCGUACAGGCGUGACAGUCAAUAGUGUGAAUUUCCACCUUAGGGGGCGCUAUGGAGCCAUUUUGCAUUUUAUUGUUUGGGCGACUUCAGAAUAUCGAAUUUUUCACCAGGCCCGGUCGUCCUGCCAAAUUUCAUGAGUUUUCGCCAGUGGGAAGUGGGCCAUUUUCCAGUUCAAAGGGGAGGAAAAAGAAGAAAGAAAGAAAGAACUAGGGCCCCGUUGGGGCACUGGCGGGCCCGAGCUGUGUCACGCCGCCCCCAACACGACCGCCUCUCCCUCCCGAUCGCGUCACACUCAAGGUUCAACGAUGGUGUGCGCACUUGUCUGUGGUCAUUUACCAUUAUAAUGAAUGGGAGGCGCAGUUUCUACCAAAACGCUUGCUGCAGACAAACUACAUGUCCUAUUUGAAAAAAGUCUGGACCAUGAGUGAGGGCACAAACACAGCUAGGAUAUAUCCAAACGGCAAGUUGCUCCUCCUUUCGUUUUUUUCCGAGAGAGCGAUGUGUUUGAGCCAUUGAGCGAUGGGCAGGAAAAACUUGACUUUUUCUCCUGCCAUGGGGGGGCACUCUUUUAGGGAGAAAAAAUUCCUUCACAAAUGUGUUGAUGGCUAGACAUUGCAUCAUCCUAGAAAACUUUGAAGCCAGUGAGGACAAAAAUGAAAAGUUAUAAGACUUUUAAGAAUGUGGAUUUUUGGGUUAUCUUUGGCGACCCCUAGAACGUAAACCGUGGGGUGCAGCAUCAUGAUUUGUACAACUUUUAAUGGCCAUGGGGUGUAGAUUGGCCUGAGCAAAUUUGGUGCCGGUGGAACGAAAGCUUUAGGAGGAGUUAGCCACAUUCCAAUGUGUGCGAAUCAACCAAAAAUGCGAAAUAGCCCUUUAACCGUACAUUUUGCAGACACGAGCGCAUUGACUUUUUCGUAGAUCUUAUUGAGAUACACGUGAUUAUCAAAUUUUGUUUCAAUAUGACAAAGCGUACAGGCGUGACAUUCAACAAUGUGUAUUUUCACCUUAUAGGACAAGAAAAAAUGGCCUUUUUUCUCCUGCCAUGGGGGGGCGCUCUUUUGGGGAGUAAAAAUUCCUUCACAAAUGUGUUGAUGGCUGGACAUUGCAUCAUCCUAGAAAACUUGGAGGCCAGUGAGGACAGAAAUAAAAAGUUAUAAGACUUGUAAGAAUGUGGAUUUUUGGGUUAUCUUUGGCGCCCCCUACAACGUAAACCGUGGGGUGCAGCGUAAUGAUUUGUACAACUUUUAAUGGCCAUGGGGUGUAGAUUGGCCUGAGCAAAUGUGGUGCCGGUGGAACGAAAGCCUUCGGAGGAGUUAGCGAAAUUCCAAUGUGUGCGGAUCGGCAAAAAAUGCGAAAUAGCCCUUUAACCGUACAUUUGACAGAUACGCCCGCACUGACUUUUUUGUAGAUCUUAUUGAGAUACACGUGUGUGUCAAAUUUUGUGUCAUUUUGACAAAGCGUACAGGCGUGACACUCAAUCAUGUGAAUUUUUCACCUUAGGGGGCGCUAUGGAGCCAUUUUGCAUUUGAUUGUUUGGGUGACUUCAGAAUAUCGAAUUUUUCACCAGGCCCGGUCGUCCUGCCAAAUUUCAUGAGUUUUCACCAGUGGGAAGUGGGCCAUUUUCCAGUUCAAAGGGGCAGAAAAAUAAUAAGAAGAAGAAGAAGAACUAGGGCCCCGUUGGGGCACUGGCGGGCCCGAGCUGUGUCGCGCCGCCCCCAACGCGACCGCCUCUCCCUCCCGAUCGCGUCACACUCAAGGUCCAAAGAUGGUGUUCUCACUUGUCUGUGGUCAUUUACCAUUACAAUGAAUGGGAGGCGCAGUUUCUACCAAAACGCUCGCUGCAGACAAACUACAUGUCCUAUUUGAAAAAAGUCUGGACCAUGAGUGAGGGCACAAACACAGCUAGGAUAUAUCCAAAUGGCAGGUUGCUCCUCCUUACGGUGUUGCCUGGAGAGCGAUGCGAUUGAGCCAUUGAGCGAUGGGCAGGAAAAACUUGACUUUUUCUCCGGCCAUGGGGGGGGCGCUGUUUUGGGGAGUAAAAAUUCCCUCACAAAUGUGUUGAUGGCUAGACAUUGCAUCAUCCUAGAAAACUUGGAGGCCAGUGAGGACAAAAAUAAAAAGUUCUAAGACUUUUAAGAAUGUGGAUUUUUGGGUCCUCUUUGGCGCCCCCUAGAACGUAAACCAUGGGGUGCAGCGUCAUGAUUUUUACAACUUUUAAUGGCCAUGGGGUGUAGAUUGGCCUGAGCAAAUUUGUUGUCAGUGGGACGAAAUCCUUAGGAGGAGUCAGCCACAUUCCAAUGUGUGCGAAUCGGCAAAAAAUGCAAAAUAGCCCUUUAGCCGUACAGUUUACAGAUACGCGUGCAUUGACUUUUUCGUAGAUCUUAUUGAGAUACACGUGUGUGUCAAAUUUUUUGUCAAUAUGACAAAGCGUACAGGCGUGAAUCUCAACAAUGUGUAUUUUCACCUUAGGGGACAAGAAAAAAUUGACUUUUUUGUCCUGCCAUGGGGGGGCGCUCUUUUGGGGAGUAAAAAUUCCUUCACAAAUGUGUUGAUGGCUGGACAUUGCAUCAUCCUAGAAAACUUGGAGGCCAGUGAGGACAAAAAAAAAAAGUUAUAAAACUUUUAAGAAUGUGGAUUUUUGGGUUAUUUUUGGCGCCCCCUAGAACCUAAACCGUGGGGUGCAGCGUCAUGAUUUGUACAACUUUGAAUGGCCAUGGAGUGUAGAUUGGCCUGAGCAAAUGUGGUGCCGGUGGAACGAAAGCCUUCGGAGGAGUUAGCAAAAUUCCAAUGUGUGCGGAUCGGAAAAAAUGCGCAAUAACCCUUUAACCGUACAUUUGACAGAUACGCCCGCACUGACUUUUUUGUAGAUCUUAUUAAGAUACAUGUGUGUGUCAAUUUUUGUGUCAAUAUGACAAAGCGUACAGGCGUGACAGUCAAUAGUGUGAAUUUUCACCUUAGGGGGCGCUAUGGAGCCAUUUUGCAUUUUAUUGUUUGGGCGACUUCAGAAUAUCGAAUUUUUCACCAGGCCCGGUCGUCCUGCCAAAUUUCCUGAGUUUUCGCCAGUGGGAAGUGGGCCAUUUUCCAGUUUAAAGCGGAGGAAAAAUAAUAAUAAUAAUAAUAACAAAAGAAGAAUCCAUCAGGAACAAGAGGGCUCUCGCAGCUGCUUAGCAGCUACGCUCGGGCCCUAAAGAAGAAUCCAUCAGGAAUAAUAGGGCUCUCGCAGCUGCUUAGCAGCUACGCUCGGGCCCUAAAGAAAGAACUAGGGCCCCGUUGGGGCACUGGCGGGCCCGAGCCGUGUCACGCCGCCCCCAGCGCGACCGCCUCCCCCACCCGAUCGCGUCACACUCAAGGUCCAAAGAUGGUGUGCGCACUUGUUUGUGGUCAUUUACCAUUAUAAUGAACGGGAGGCGCAGUUUCUACCAAAACGCUCGCUGCAGAAAAACUCCAUGUCCU